AGGCAAGGAGAGAGAGAAAGAAACUGGCGGGGCAGAAGGAGCAAGUCAGACAAAGACCAGGCCCUGUAGAGUUUGGUGGCUGGUUUCAGUAGUCCUGCUUUUGAUGUGGCCCUGUAGCUGGCCCAGACGCCGGACCAGCAGAAAGUCUUCUAGCGGAGGCUCGUUUUGUCGAAGGCCAGGGUUCACUGUGGUAGAGAUGGACCGCGUGACCCAUCGAGGUAGGCCAGCUCGGACUCUGCCAGGCCUGCUGUGCGGCCAUCUGUCUGAGGGUCACAGCCUUUCUCUCUCUCCUACUCUUUUCUCCUCUCUCUGUCUGUCUACCUGACGCUCAAUAAUGAUGUCUUCACCAUGUCUUCCACGUACUCCUGGUUGGACUAAAUAAUCAGGGAUGUGCUGGUGGAAAAUGGGUCAGAAGAGCUUUUUAUAUCCUCACUCUAACAUUGUCGGAUUUAACCUUCAGGUGUUAGCCGUUGCAGCUAAAAUUGUGAAGAAAAUGGAGUUGUUGGUAAAGUAGGCUAAUUAGAAGCAGUGUUGAUUCCUUU
Pygocentrus nattereri (red-bellied piranha) is the source of this 542-nucleotide long non-coding RNA. RefSeq lists it as uncharacterized. The transcript has 2 exons. NCBI's taxonomy places the organism in Eukaryota, Metazoa, Chordata, Actinopteri, Characiformes, Serrasalmidae. The record is from RefSeq and is a predicted model, not a curated record.